CGCAGUAGCACUCCCGAGUCGCUGGGAUGACAGACACGCACCGCGGCCAUGCCCAGCUCGCUGCUCAGCUCCUCAGUACUGGCCUCAUCUCCCCCUGCCUCCCCUUGGGCCUCCGCUCCAGCCCCACUCCACGGCCGCUGCUUUUGCCCUGCGACACUCUGCGUAGAGCUGGACAUACUCAAGGUCACCCCGAGCACCCCUCCCUAGGGAGGCAGAAUCCGUCGCUGCUUUUGGGUACCGCUGCACCAGAGGGAAGAAACGGGCAAAGAGUCCCAGAAUGGCGGCCAGGACUUCUAAGCUGAACAUUUAACACCAGGGGAAACUGAGGCACCGAGCAGGGAAGUCACUUAUCCAAGAUCAGCCGAGGAGCAAAGGGUGGCCCUGGGACUAGAACCGCGGUCGGACAGUCCCCCUCUCCACAGCACCACUGCGACUCCCAGAGAGGGUGGGGGAGACUGGGUGGGACCUGCUUGUGCUGGGACCCCCCAGAAGGGAGUGUGACCAUCACCCUCCAGCCCUGCAGACGCUGCCACGGUGCCAGAGCCCGCACUGUCUUUCACAACGAGAGGUUUGGCUCAGGGCCCUUCAGGGGAUGAAAACCAUUUUCUUAGGAAAAGGAGAAACCAAAAGAAAACGCAAUCAGACAAACCCACGAUGGGCAGGCCCCCGCCACCCGCCGACAUCUGAGCCACAAACUCAGACGGGGAAAUCCGAGGUGACCUGGUGUCCUAAUCCAUUUGUUCGUUGGCUCAUCCGGUCGCAGGGAGGGCUUCCAGGAGGAGGUGACCCUGCAUUGGCUCUGAAGACUCUGUAGGAGUUACCCUGGUGGCCAGAGUGUGGUUUUCUGAUAACAGAGGGAUUGACCUAAGUGAGGGCGUCAGGCGUUACUGGAGGAGGAAGUGACGUCGGAACUGAGAGCGAGAAAGGAAGAGGCACAGCAGAGGCUGUGGGAUGGCCGGUGGCCCAGGACUCCCCUGGUGGCCCCUUGGCCCCAGAAGCCCCUGUUCAGGACACCUGGGCGGAGCCCCGUUUCCUCAUCUGCACAGAACGCAGAGGGAGCGCUGACCCCCAGACGCCCACUGAGAAAGGAGGGCAGCGGCCAUGGCAGAACUCUCUGGGCCCUCUGUCCCUGUGACCUCGAGCCUUCCUCUCUUUGCCCUCUGUGGUCAGACUGUGACCUCUCGACUUAUCAGCCUGUCCCUCAGGGCCCCACUCAGUGCCUGGGUUGCACAAUGACUGCCAGUUCCUGAUGGGGCACCCAGCUCGGGCGGGCUCCCUCCAGGCCAGACAGUCUUUGUGGCCUGCUUAGGAAAGGUCAGCCCAUAGGGACACUGACCUGGGGUCAGCGCUUUGACAGUGUUCUAGAAACAGUUCCAUUUCUGGAGAAAAGCUGGCCUUGGUGACAGCAAGACUGGUGUGGGUUCUGGACUCGUGCUGCGUGUCCCCGGACAGCCUGUCAUAUCACGGUCAUGACCUCUCAUCCUUCUGAGGCCUCUGCACCCUCAACAUUUAAAGCAAUCAUUAAUUUGACAAA
This is a non-coding RNA of Ictidomys tridecemlineatus (thirteen-lined ground squirrel), 1534 nucleotides long. The record is from RefSeq and is a predicted model, not a curated record. NCBI's taxonomy places the organism in Eukaryota, Metazoa, Chordata, Mammalia, Rodentia, Sciuridae.